GGGGAAUAUUGGACAAUGGGCGCAAGCCUGAUCCAGCCAUACCGCGUGUGUGAAGAAGGCCUUCGGGUUGUAAAGCACUUUAAGCAGGGAGAAAAAGUUAUAAGUUAAUACCUUAUAACCGUGAUGUUACCUGCAGAAUAAGCACCGGCUAAUUCCGUGCCAGCAGCCGCGGUAAUACGGAAGGUGCAAGCGUUAAUCGGAAUUACUGGGCGUAAAGCGCGCGUAGGUGGUUUGUUAAGUUGGAUGUGAAAGCCCUGGGCUCAACCUAGGAACUGCAUCCAAAACUAACUCACUAGAGUACGAUAGAGGGAGGUAGAAUUCAUAGUGUAGCGGUGGAAUGCGUAGAUAUUAUGAAGAAUACCAGUGGCGAAGGCGGCCUCCUGGAUCUGUACUGACACUGAGGUGCGAAAGCGUGGGUAGCGAACAGG
This 428-nucleotide ribosomal RNA is filed under the name uncultured bacterium. RNAcentral's name for it is "bacterial SSU rRNA". It matches the Rfam family "Bacterial small subunit ribosomal RNA", at positions 356 to 776 of the family's 1533-position model. The record is from RNAcentral.